CCUGUCUACACAGAGUAGCAGUGGCUCUCCAGGAUUUCAGACAGGGGUCUGCCCCAGCCCCACCUGUGUGCUAAGCAGAUGCUCUACCAUUGGGUUUUACAGAAGCUUCAAAGAAAAUGUACACAGAGUAAUUGUGAAAACAUUACAGGCAACAGAAGGUUGCCUGGUAUUAGGGGCAAUAGCUUCAUUGAUGCAUGGGAAACUGAGGUGGGGUUCCAGAAACCUGCAAAAGGGCAACAAACUACAAGAAGGACGCAGCUGGAGAGAAUGAUUCCUAGUUUCAGUUGUCUCUACUGAAAGGCACAGGGUAUGGGAAACAAGCAAGAUGAAUUGGAGCUUUUAAUACAGGAUGGCAAAUAAGACAUAUGACCUAGAAGGCGAGUAGGCAUUGUCUCAGGGUUCAAGAUUUCUUUAACAGAUUGGAGGAUUGGGUUAACAAAUGAAUUUGAAUAGGGAGAAAUGUAAGGUUCUGCACUUAGGCAGGAAGUACCAACUUCACAAAUAUAAGUUGAAGGACACCUGGCUUACUAGGAUCUCGCCAUCUUAAUGAAAUUCAAGCUUCACUUGAGUGAACAGUGUGGUGCAGUUUUUGCUGUAUGUGUAUUUAAAACAAAUUCUUUAUUGGUUUAAUUCAAUCUGCCUGUAAGCUGCCUUGUUGCUCCCUAGCACAGAAAGACAUGGAACCUAAGUUUCUUUAAACAGAUUGACCAAAAAUGGUACACAGCAAUACGCUUUGAUGUCCAACUCUCAUUGCAGUGUUGUACCAAAAUACUAUCAGCAAAUUCUGGCCUUGGUGUUUGCAGUCAAGGAAAUCAACAAGAAUUCCAAUAUAUUACCUAAUGUCACAUUAGGAUUCCACAUCUUUGAUAGUUACUUCAGUGAAAGGAUGACCUACUGGGCCACUUUGGAGCUGCUCUCUACACACUACAGAUUCGUACCCAACUACCAGUGUGACAAACAGAAAAAUCUGAUGGCCGUCAUUGGGGGACUUGACUUUGAGGUUUCCCUCCACAUGGCAGCCAUCUUAGGUGUCUACAAGAUUCCCCAGGUAAGAGUCAAACAUGGUGACUCAUUCUUCUUUCCUCUGUCCUGUUGAGAAAAGUUUUGCAUUCCAUCAUAGCCCUCUUGACAAUUUCAAAUUGUAUUCAAUAAAAGCUUUCAUCCGUCUUCAUCCAUUUCCCAACGUGUGCAUGUUCUUCAGAGGGUAGGAAUGGAACAUUUUGCAGAUACAGUUGUACACACCUGCUCUAUGUAUGUGAACAGCUUGAUCUGCCGGCCUCAGGUAGACUCCAACCAGGAUGAAUUACGGAGGCUGCUCAUCAGUCACUUGUACAUUACCUUAAUUAAUUUGACCUGGACAAUUUGGGGCUGUCAGGGGUGCCAUCAACAGGUCACUGGUUAUCUACCUAGUGAAAUCAGAGGAGCAGAGAGAGCUUUUCAAUGGUUUCAUUUUAAUCCACAGGAAGACAGAAACACGUGAAAGUAUGCUCUCACCCUUGAGCUAAUAUUGCUCAGAUUGCAACUCCACCCUGCACCGACAAUUUCUUCCUAGAAAUCAGACGCCUCCUGCUGCCUAUGGUGGCUGCUAAGAUCAAUUCUCUUUUGGGUUCUGCAGAGCAUGUCUGGUCCUUGUGGAAGGAGGGGGCUCUGACAAACUCUCUUGAGAAAGAAUGUCACUUGGCUGCUGUACUGUUUCUAAGAAAUCUGACUCCUGUCUUUGUUCAUUGCCACCUUGCUCUGGUUCAUCAUCACUUAUUAUUUCCCAGGUGCUUUUUCCUUCUCAGGUGUGACCUGUCUCAAACCACCACACCAUACUCUCCCCCCUUCCUUCUUUCUGGAAGGUUCUUAGGGUGCUGCUCUCCACCACUCCUCCUCAUCUGCCCAUUCCCUGACGGGCUUACUAAGACAGCAGGUCCAAAGCACAAUGGUUUCAUCAUUGCAAUCCACACAUAACCAAUGUUUCUACUGCAUUAAUGGGAAUUAAGUGUCCGUUUCCUUCUAGCUCACUUAUGGCUCCUUUGCCCCAGAGGAUGCUGGUCAAAGCCAAUCCACUCCCUUCUACUGGAUGGUGCCCAAUGAAGCCCAUCAGUACACUGGGAUUGUUGAGUUACUUCUGCACUUUGGAUGGACGUGGGUUGGGUUGUUCGCGGUGGAUAGUGAGAGUGGAGAGAAGUUUAUGGAAAUCCUGCAAACUCUGCUUUUCCAGAGAGGCAUUUGCUUGGCCUUUUCAGAGAGAACUCCAAAAGGCUCAUAUUUUGAAGAGUAUUAUCACAUGAUUCCCCAGUGGCUCCAAGCCUAUCUUGCUAUUGCGGAAAGCAAAGCCAAUGCUGUUGUUGUCUAUGGAGAAGCCAAGUCCAUGUGUUUUUUGCAACUAUGGCUAGCGGCAGGGGGUGCAGAAAAUGUGACAUCUAUGGAGAAGGUAUGGAUUAUGACUGCUCAAUUGGAUUUCUCAGCAUUGGCCUUUCAAAUGAGCCAGAGUAUGCAACCAUUUCAUGGCUCCAUCUGCUUCACAGUGCACUCAAAGGAGGUGCAAGGAUUCAAGACCCUUCUUCGCUCCCUCAAUCCUUUCAUGGCAGGUGAAGAUGGUUUUCUUCAGCAGUUCUGGCUGCAGACAUUCUAUUGUUUCUUUUCAAAAUCCAGUACUGAGUUCAGUGAACCCUGCACUGGACAGGAGAAGCUGGACAGCCUCCCCUCGUCUGGCUUUGAGAUGAGCAUGACUGGCCACAGCUACAGCAUCUACAAUGCUGUCUAUGUUGUGGCACAUGCCCUACAUGAUGCCAUGUACAGAUCCAGGGCAAAAGACAGAGGAAUUGUGAGAAGAUGGAGACCGCAGCUUCAGAAAUUGCAGCCUUGGCAGGUAAUGGCUCUUUUUUUUUGGUAUAUCUUUUAAUUAUUAUUUCAUUUUAUAUUGUUGAUAAAGCAAAGAUAACGCAAUUUUAACAACAGACAAAAAUUGAGAGAUGAAUAACUGAACUGUAAAAUAGGCAGGUAGGAUGUGUAGCUGCACGUGAGUUAAAUAAAGACUUUAAAGUCCAAAUUAAGUCCAAUUGUAUCAGAUCACCAAGCAUAGUUCCAGAUUUGCCAGGUUUGUGGGGAGGGGUUGUUUUGAAAACGUUGGUUCUGCUGUAUAUGCCAAAUCAUAUAAAACGUGUCUAGUCCUUGUCAAAAUCUCAAAUUAUUUGUGAUUAUUUUGCUAUAGCUAUAUUCCAGAGUGAGUGGUACAAAGUGUCCAGCAUCAGAUUUUUGGGCUGUGUUCUAUUGAGUUGCCAUUACUAUGAAUGCUGCCACUUUAAUCUUGCCAAUUUUUUGGCAACAUAUUUACAAUGGUAUCAUCAGAAAUACACAGUGACAUUCAUUUUGGACAACAAACCAUCUUUUUAUAGUAAUAUUUAUCAUUUCUGAGAAAAUCGGAUACAACCCACUCACCUGAGCUUCAGCUCUUCAAAACAGCUAGGUGUGAUAUUGUCAAUGGCAAUUUCUAUCUCAACUAGAGUCUUAACAGGAACACCUGUUUUGCCUGUUCCUCCCUCAGUCUUACCCUCCCACCAUUUUCUUGUUCUUUCAUUUAUACCCUUUCUGCAUUGAACUUCAUGGAUGUUUGCAUGAUGAUUUUGGAAGUCCUGUUUAAGCUUUGUUUUGUUUUUAUAAUUAAUUUUUAUUCAGUUUCCAAUAUACAUUCCAUCCAUAUUUAACAUCCACUUCUAACAUAUACAUCUUUUAGACUUCCCUCAGCCUAUCUGACAAUUUUCCAUAUAAUCACAAUUACUCACAUUUCUUAAAUUUAUAUUGCGCUUUAACAAUCUUAAUCUUAUCAUAUCUUUUAAGCAACAUUUCUGUCCAUCGUUUUCACAGAGCUUCUUGAAAGCCAACAAGCGUUAUUUGCUCCUCACAUACAUUUUUGGUAUACUCUGUGAAUUUAUUCCAGUCCUCGGUGAAUCUCUGAUCACGCUGGUUCCGAAUUUUCCCCGUUAAUUUGUCCAUUUCUGCAUAUUCCAUCAGUUUCAUUCUCCAUUCUUCCCUCGUCGGCAUUUCUUCCUGUUUCCAUUUCUGGGCCAUCAAAAUUCUAGCUGCUGUCACUGCAUACCUAAAUAAUUUCACAUCAUUCUUUUUAAUUUCAUUCCCUAAUAUUCCUAAUAAAAAUGCUUCUGGUUUCUUAACAAAAGUAUAUUUCAACAUUUUCUUCAUCUCAUUAUAAAUCAUUUCCCAGAAGCCUUUCACUUUCUUACACUCCCACCACAUGUGAUAAAAUGUUCCUUCUUUUUCCUGACAUUUCCAACAUUUAUUACUGACUUUAUACAUCUUACCAAGUUUCACUGGUGUUACAUACCAUCUAUACAUCAUUUUCAUAACAUUUUCUUUUAUUGUAGUGCAUGCAGUGAAUUUCAUUCCUUCUUUCCACAAUUUUAUCCACUCAUCAAAUUGUAUAUUAUAACCAAAAUCUAUGGCCCACUGAAUCAUAAUUGAUUUUACUUCCUCAUCCUUUGUAUGCCACUCAAGUAAUAAUUUAUACAUUUUUGAUAAAAUUUUAACAUCACUAUUCAAGAUUUCUUGAUGAAACCUAGAUUUCUUUUCCUGGAAACCUCUUUCUGACAACUCUUUUUUGAACAUUGCAUUUAACUGAAAAUAGUGCAACCAGUCACUCACAUUUUCUUUAACUUCUUCAUAUGGUCUCAGUUUCCAUUUAUUACCUUCUUUAAUUAUCAAAUUCUCUUAAGUAAUCCAUCUCCCUGUCAUAUUGAUCUUUUUCACACUCAUUAUCUCCAAUGGUGAUAGCCAAUAUGGAGUUUUAAACUCUAAUAAAUUUUUAUACCUAUUCCAGACUUCAAUCAACGAUCUUCUUCUAAAGAUGUGGUUUUCAAAACCUUUAUGCACUCUAUUCUUUUCACACCAUAAAUACGCGUGCCAACCGAAUCUAUUAUCAUAACCUUCUAAGUCCAACAAUUCUGUGUUUUCUAACUUUAUCCAUUCUUUCACCCAGCAAAGACACGAAGCUUCAUAAUAUAGCUUUAAAUCUGGCAGGGGAAGUCCUGUUUAAGCUUUGAAAUACAUAUACAGUGUGCCUUAGUCCUAUACGGAGGAAUCUACAGAGGAAAGAGAGAUCAAAAUUUACUGUUAUUAUUGCUAUUGUUAUUAUUUUGUGAUUAUAUGAAAUCUUGUCUACUGCCUUGGAAGAGGCAAUGGCACUUUAAAAGGCUAUGCUGAACAUAAGAUAAGGUUGAGUUUUAAACAAUUGUCCUUUUCCUGCCAUCUCAAUGCAGCUCCACCCAUUUCUUAGGAGUGUCUCAUUUAACAACAGUGCGGGAGAAGAAGUGUCUUUUAGUGAGAACAGGGAAUUAGAAGCUGGAUUCGAUAUUACCAACUUGGUCACUUUCCCAAAUAACUCCUUCAUCAGAAUGAAGGUUGGAUGGAUGAAUUUGGAUGCUCCCCCAGGAAAAGAGUUUUCCAUCAAUGAAGACAAAAUGGUGUGGCACAGGAGUUUUCAGCAGGUGGGGCAUGAUUUCAGCAAAUUGCAACUCCAGUGGGUCCUAAAUGAGAUGCUUGCAUCUUUGAAGCCUAGCUGAGACAUGGAUCCUGUAUUUUUCCUCACUUGUUGUUUAUGAAAACCUCUAUGAAUGUUGUGGGGCUCUGAUGCCCUGAAGGAGGCCAGGACAUAGUUCAUUAUUAUAUGCUUGUUUGUUUAUUGCAUUUUUAGUCCACCUUUCCUUUGCUUACUUCCCAUUUUAUCCUAACAACCAACAACCCUGUAAGGUAGUGUAGACUGAGAGCAGCAGUGACUGGUCCAAGGUCACCCAAUGAGUUUCAUUUGAACCCUGGUCUUCCACUUCCCUGUCUAGCACAUUCUUUAAAGAUUUCUAGGCCAGCACAGUGUGACCUAAGCCUAACCUCCAACCAACUUCUUUGGGGAGAAAGAAAAGGGAGCUGAGCCUGGAGACAGAGGAGGCAGACUUCUGCAGAGAAUGCCUGGUUUGGAGGCUAGUAAUUCUCAAGUUAUAGUAGCAGAAGUCUGGCAGAGUCCAGCACUAUCCUUGGUUUUGAGGCUGCUUAACUUGUGUACGAUUGUCUCUUGGCCCAGUGUAUUUAGUCUGGGGUUCUCAGUUCCCAAUAUUUGUGUUUUUCAGGUGGAAAAACUGAAGGAACCUGACAGUGUAUAUAGGUAGCUGCUUAUUUAAAUCACUUAGGAUGUCAAAACAUCCUUUCAACUCUACUUUAAAUCCUUUUCAGUUUUAUAAGAAAUGUAUUUUUCCAAAUAAUAAUAAUAUUACUGUUCAGGUGGACUCCCUCCCUCCCUCUUUUUUAUUUUUACUUUUUUAAAAACACAUUGAAAUGGCCAUAACUUCAUUUUCAGAGUCACAAAACAUCUUCUGUCUCAUUAGAUGCCAUUAAUGGCUGUUGACAGCUCAUUGUUUUCAAAAUUCUCUUAAUAUUCAGCAGGCCAUUUCUCCCAUCCACUUGAUCCCUUGCAGCCCAGAAAAUGGAGUUCAGGUUCUCCAAAGGUCCAUUAUUCCCCCUGUGCUAAACAUUUCCUUAUGAUUAAUUAAAAUUCACAGGUGCCACCCCUCUCUCAAUGCAACAAAAAUUGCCCUUCUGGUACUAGGAGAAAAAGCAGGAAGGGGAGAAAUUCUGCUGCUAUGACUGUGCUCCAUGUUCAGAAGGCAAGAUUUCAUACCAGAAAGGUAGGAGACAUUAGGUAGCUUUCAGAUAACUCAGAUUUCCUGUGAAGGGUCUGUGUCAAUGUGAAAGGUGUCACAGUUGCUGCUAUUGAUGUAGUUCUGAUUUCCAUGGUGAUUGAAGUUCACAGACUUGGAGCUCUUUAUUGCAACCAGCUGAUGGCCCAGCAACGAGGCCCAGCAUUUUCAAAGAGGUGCUUUGCAAGCCCAAAUGAUCAGAUGAUGGUUGGGGUUUACAAAGCACACUGUUACCUGCCCUACACCUAACAUCAGAGAUGACAUCAGAUACAGGGCCCGUAGGUGUAACUUGCUAAAAUGGCCCCAUACUGCCAGGAGGAUGCAUACCUACUCUCAAGUUGCACCCUUAAAGGGAAUCCUUUCUUCUUUUCAGACAUGAAUGACUGUGUCGGAUGCUCAGAAGAUCACUAUCCAAACAGGAACCAAACACAAUGCAUUGCAAAGUCCAUCAGCUUCUUGACUUUGGAAGAACCGCUUGGGAUGAGCUUAGCUUUUGGCUCCGUAUUCUCCUCUUUGCUGACCAUCUUGUCCCUCGCCAUCUUUAUGAAGCAUCAGGACACACCGAUUGUCAGGGCCAAUAAUCGGGACCUCACCUACGUUCUCCUCCUGUCUCUCCUUCUCUGUUUUCUCUGUCCCCUCAUCUUCCUCAGCCGACCAGACAGAGUGACCUGCCUUGUCCGACAAAUGGCUUUUGGUGUGGUUUUCACAGUGACUGUUUCUUGUGUGUUGGCCAAAACCAUCACCGUUGUUCUGGCAUUCAUGGCCACCAAACCAGGAUCCAGAAUGAGGAAAUGGGUGGGGAAAAGACUGGCAAGCGCCAUUGUGUUGACUUGUACUAUUAUCCAAGCUGGUAUUUGCACUGUGUGGCUGGGAACCUCUCCCCAUUUCCCCAUUUUGACAAGCAUUCUGUGACAGGAGAAAUUAUUCUGGAAUGUAAUGAAGGGUCAGCUGCCAUGUUUUACUGUGUCCUGGGCUACAUGGGCCUCCUGGCCAUUGUCAGUUUUGUUGUAGCAUUUUUAGCCAGGAAACUGCCUGACAGCUUUAAUGAGGCCAAAUUCAUCACCUUCAGCAUGUUGUUAUUUUGUAGUGUUUGGAUCUCCUUUGUUCCGGUCUACCUGAGCUCCAAGGGAAAACACAUGGUGGCUGUGGAGAUCUUCUCCAUCUUGGUCUCCAGUGCUGGUUUACUGGGUUCCAUCUUUUCCCCCAAAUGCUACAUUAUCAUAUUAAGGCCUGAUCUGAAUGACAAACAGCAGUUAAUAAAGAAGAAAUAGCAAAGUACCCUGUUGUCACUUUUUUCUGUUACCCCAGAACAUGGGUAAUGAAUUUGCUGCCGACUCCUUGAUAUAAUUUUAUUUUAUUUGUUUAUUGAACUUGCUAUGUGCAUAAAAAAAAUCAGAUGGUUCUCCCCCACCCCGAGAUGUGGUCUGCACCUUUGGGAGCCCAAGGGCACAACUGGAAAACUGAGGAACUCUUGUGGACACAAAAAAACACCAAUUUCACAGAAGAAAGUGUGGAGAUGCUCAGAAACUCCACCUCCAUCCUUUCUUGUAACUUGAAUACAUUGGUUUGGGUCCUACUCUCUGUAGCAAUAGACAAGCUUGCUGCAUCUUCCAUGUGACAGCCCUUGAGGUAUUUGAAGAUGGGUAUCAUAUCUCCUCUCAGUCUCCUUUUUCUAGGCUAAACAUACCCAGCUCCCUCAACCAUUGCUCAUAAGGCUUGGUUUCCCACCCAUCAUCUUCCUGGCUGCCCUCCUCUGCACAUGUUCAGCACACAUUUUACCUCAUGAAAAUAUAAUGGGGGACUUUGCCAAAAGCCUGCCUGAACUCAAAAUAGACUAUGACCACAGCAUUCUCCUGAUCCACUACAUUUGUAAUGCCAUAAAAAAUAAAAUAAAUGAGAUUGGCCUGGUAUGACUACAACAGGCCCAGGACAGAACCCUUUGGCAUCUCUGUGGCAUCAAGAGAUAAUAUCCCUAUGCUAUGAGGAGAAAAUGAAAAGGAGGGAAAUACCCCUCUUCCCAGAGAGAGUGACAGAUGCCACAUAUACUUAUUCUGAGCUCAGAAUUGUACAUGCAGCUCUCUGUGUGAAUGAAGAAGUACUUGCAGAAGAGCCAGGACAGAAAUUCCCUACCUCAAGUUUUGUUUUCAAUUUUGCCUCCCUUACAGGCCUGUGGUCUGAAGUCUAGUGCUGCUUCCUUGGAAUCAGAGAGUCAGGGCCGAGCUCACAAUCCCCUUUGUGUCUCAAACUCUGCUCUUGAAUGCACUUUCCUCUUCACAAAGCAGCAUGUGAGAAAAGAGUUUAGGUGAAAUCACAAGGGCAGUCUUUGCCCUGGGCACAGUUUUUUCCAGGGCACGUUUUGCUCCUCACACCACCCAUGCCAGCCCUGUUGUGCUUUGCAAGUGCGAUCCCACAUCCCAGCCCCUCAAAGCAGCAUGGGGCUGGCAGGGCAUCAGGACGAUGUAAUGGGCAUGUGCCCUUCCUGCUGCGUCUUCCUCAUGUCACCCACCCAGCCUGUCACGGAUGCUUUAGUUGUGACCCCUGCAUUCCAGGGGGUCGAGCUUGAUGACCUUUGGGGGGAUCCUUUCAAUUCUACAUUUUUUUGUUUAUUUAGGUGAAUAUAUAGGGCCCCCCAUGGGACGCGGGUGGCGCUGUGGGUAAAACCUCAGCGCCUAGGACUUGCCGAUCGCAUGGUCGGUGGUUCGGAUCCCCGCGGCGGGGUGCGCUCCCGUCGUUCGGUCCCAGCGCCUGCCAACCUAGCAGUUCGGAAGCACCUCCGGGUGCAAGUGGAUAAAUAGGGACCGCUUACAAGCGGAAAGGUAAACGGCGUUCCGUGUGCUGCGCUGGCUCGCCAGAUGCAGCUUGUCACGCUGGGCACAUGACCCGGAAGUGUCUGCGGACAGCGCUGGCUCCCGGCCUAUAGAGUGAGAUGAGCGCACAACCCUAGAGACUGGCAAGACUGGCCUGAACGGGCAGGGGUACCUUUACCUUUUACUAUAGGGGCCCUAAAAAGGCCUGAAGACAGGGCCCAAUGGACCGUAUGUCCAUCAUCACAGCUCAUGCCUUGAAGUCACUCAGAGUCUGCUCACAAUUGUUCCUUUCCAGCCAAAUUCUACCAGUGGCAGGAUUCAUCUUGGCCCCAUGGGUUUACCUGCCCCAUGCCUGGCCUCACAUAACAUCAGCUGAUGGACAUGUGAAUGUGGUUUGGACCAUGAGCCCAAUGGAGAGGCUUGGUUGGCCUAACUGCUGCAGGUCAGAGGUCCUUGUUGAUUCCCCGCAAGGAGCUUUCUCUACCUGUGUAGAUUCUCUUGAGUGAUUGACAACUUUUAGGGUUCUGGAUUGUGUAAGAAAGUACCGUAAGGACAGCAAGCUACAGAGGCUCUCUUCUGAGAACACAGUAGGUGAUGAAACUGGCAGCAGGGAUGCAAUGGAGGAGAAGGGGCAACAGACUUGUUCCUGCUCCCCCCUCAUUACAAUGCCUUGAAAACACUUGAAGGAGGCUGCUGAGGGAUUAUUCUGUGUGGAUCAUUGUCUCUGCUACCUCCAAUGGACCAGCUGAGGCAAAGGGAUCAUUAUUCUCUCCCCUGUUAUUAUCAAUUACAUGGUAAUAAUCUGCUUCUGAUUAGACCUCCAUAGACUUCCAGGAAUCCAGUCUAAAAAGAAUUAAAACCCUCUCUGCCAUCCCCAGCAAAUGCUAAGGUGCUGCUGACUCGUUUAGUGAGCUUUCCCCUGGAGUUGGAUCCUAGGUCUUGGGAAUUUAGCUGGUGCAUUCGGAGAGUGCCAUUCAAGGUAAGCUGCUGUACUGAGGUUGUUUCUAAUGCCAAUGCUGAUUAGCUGUAAACAGCGAAAUCGCUGUCCAGGAAAGUGUAUUGUUCCUAGUAUGGCAGUGUUGAUGCUGUUAAUCUUCUCGCUGCCUCAAAUGGUGAAUCUGUCAAAUGUCAGUCGGAGCAUCAGUCAUCUCCAUAUCCCACACAAGUACUAUCAGUCAGGUGACCUUAUCAUUGGUGCACUUGCUUCUCACAUCGUGUCCUCUGUUGACUAUGAAACCUUCAUACAAUGGCCAUCCAUCCAUCAGAUUCUUAAUCCAUUGUAAGUGUUGCAAAUUUUCAAUUCCCAUGUCAUAUUAAUUCCUAAGUUACCAUGUGGGCUCAGAAAUACUUCCUAUUUAUUUUAUCUAUGGAGAUUUAUUACUUAUAGAGAGGGGUGCAAAAUAUCCCUCCCCACCACCUGAAUUUUAACAUCUAAAAUGAUCAAGACAGACAAUAAAUUUUUCGUCAAGCCUGUAGGAAUGAGGUGGAUUAUCUAGGAUCCAGCGUGGAAGCAAAGAAAGAGCAGUCUUCCAGUGAGAUAUGACAUGAUGUUCUGGGUGGUGUGUUUCUCUCUCACCCCCAAGCUCCCCAACCCCAUUUUCCAGAGCAGUGCUUAAUGGAGAGGAGGAGCCAUGGCCACGACCAGUCACAUGGGUGUCAUAAUCUAGAGAGCCCAGCAUUCUGAUGUCAACAGGAAAUGGGUGAAUGGCCAGUACGAACCAUUGGUCUACCUAGCUCAGGCCUGUCUACACAGAGUAGCAGUGGCUCUCCAGGAUUUCAGACAGGGGUCUGCCCCAGCUCCACCUGUGUGCUAAGCAGAUGCUCUACCAUUGGGUUUUACAGAAUCUUCAAAGAAAAUGUACACAGAGUAAUUGUCAAAACAUUACAGGCAACAGAAGGUUGGCUGCUAUCGGGGGCAAUAGCUUCAUUGAUGCGUGGGAAACUGAGGUGGGGUUCCAGAAACCUGCAAAAGGGCAACAAACUACAAGAAGGACGCAGCUGGAGAGAAUGAUUCCUAGUUUCAGUUGUCUCUACUGAAAGGCACAGGGUAUGGGAAACAAGCAAGAUGAAUUGGAGCUUUUAAUACAGGAUGGCAAAUAAGACCUAUGACCUAGAAGGCGAGUAGGCAUUGCCUCAGGGUUCAAGAUUUCUUUAACAGAUUGGAGGAUUGGGUUAACAAAUGAAUUUGAAUAGGGACAAAUGUAAGGUUCUGCACUUAGGCAGCAAGUACCAACUUCACAAAUGUAAGUUGAAGGACACCUGGCUUACUAGGAUCUCGCCAUCUUAGUGGAACUCAAGCUUCACUUGAGUGAACAGUGCGGUGCAGUUUUUGCUGUAUGUGUAUUUAAAACAAAUUCUUUAUUGGUUUAAUUCAAUCUGCCUGUAAGCUGCCUUGUUGCUCCCUAGCACAGAAAGACAUGGAACCUAAGUUUCUUUAAACAGAUUGACCAAAAAUGGUACACAGCAAUACGCUUUGAUGUCCAACUCUCAUUGCAGUGUUGUACCAAAAUACUAUCAGCAAAUUCUGGCCUUGGUGUUUGCAGUCCAGGAAAUCAACAAGAAUUCCAAUCUAUUACCUAAUGUCACAUUAGGAUUCCACAUCUUUGAUAGUUACUUCAGUGAAAGGAUGACCUACUGGGCCACUUUGGAGCUGCUCUCUACACACUACAGAUUCGUACCCAACUACCAGUGUGACAAACAGAAAUAUCUGAUGGCCGUCAUUGGGGGACUUGACUUUGAGGUUUCCCUCCACAUGGCAGCCAUCUUAGGUGUCUACAAGAUUCCCCAGGUAAGAGUCAAACAUGGUGACUCAUUCUUCUUUCCUCUGUCCUGUUGAGAAAAGUUGUGCAUUCCAUCAUAGCCCUCUUGACAAUUUCAAAUUGUAUUCAAUAAAAGUUUUCAUUCGUCUUCAUCCAUUUCCCAACGUGUGUAUAUUCUUCAGAAGGUAGGAAUGGAACAUUUUGAAGAUACAGUUGUACACACCUACUCUAUGUAUGUGAACAGCUUGGUCUGCUGGCCUCACGUAGACUCCAACCAGGAUGAAUUAUGGAGUGCUCAUCAGUCGCUUGUACAUUACCUUAAUUAAUUUGACCUGGAUAAUUUGGGGCUGUCAGGGUGCCGUCAACAGGUCACUGGUUAUCUACCUAGUGAAAUCAGAGGAGCAGAAAGAGCUUUUCAAUGGUUUCAUUUUAAUCCACAGGAAGACAGAAACACGUGAAAGUAUGCUCUCACCCUUGAGCUAAUAUUGCUCAGAUUGCAACUCCACCAUGCACCGACAAUUUCUUCCUAGAAAUCAGACGCCUCCUGCUGCCUAUGGUGGCUGCUAAGAACAAUUCUCUUUUGGGUUCUGCAGAGCGUGUCUUGACCUUGUGGAAGGAGGGGGCUCUGACAAACUCUCUUGAGAGAGAAUGUCACUUGGCUGCUGUACUGUUUCUAAGAAAUCUGACUCCUGUCUUUGUUCAUUGCCACCUUGCUCUGGUUCAUCAUCACUUAUUAUUUCCCAGGUCCUUUUUCCUUCUCAGGUGUGACCUGUCUCAAACCACCACACCAUACUCUCCCCCUUCCUUCUUUCUGGAAGGUUCUUAGGGUGCUGCUCUCCACCACUCCUCCUCAUCUCCCCAUUUCCUGACGGGCUUACUGAGACAGCGGGUCCAAAGCACAAUGGUUUCAUCAUUGCAAUCCACACAUAACCAAUGUUUCUACUGCAUUAAUGGGAAUUAAGUGUCCGUUUCCUUCUAGCUCUCUUAUGGCUCCUUUGCCUUGGAGGAUGCUGGUCAAAGCCAAUCCACUUCCUUCUACCGGAUGGUGCCCAAUGAAGCCCAUCAGUACACUGGGAUUGUUGAGUUACUUCUGCACUUUGGAUGGACGUGGGUUGGGUUGCUUGCGUUGGAUAGUGAGAGUGGAGAGAAGUUUAUGGAAAUCCUGCAAACUCUGCUUUUCCAGAGAGGCAUUUGCUUGGCCUUUUCAGAGAGAACUCCAAAAGGCUCAUAUUUUGAAGAGUAUUAUCACAUGAUUCCCCAGUGGCUCCAAGCCUAUCUUGCUAUUGCGGAAAGCAAAGCCAAUGCUGUCGUUGUCUAUGGAGAAGCCAAGUCCAUGUUUUAUUUGCAACUAUGCCUAGCGGCAGGGGGUGCAGAAAAUGUGACAUCUAUGGAGAAGGUAUGGAUUAUGACUGCUCAAUUGGAUUUCUCAGCAUUGGCCUUUCAAAUGAGCCAGAGUAUGCAACCAUUUCAUGGCUCCAUCUGCUUCACAGUGCACUCAAAGGAGGUGCAAGGAUUCAAGACCCUUCUUCGCUCCCUCAAUCCUUUCAUGGCAGGUGAAGAUGGUUUUCUUCAGCAGUUCUGGCUGCAGACAUUCUAUUGUUUCUUUUCAAAAUCCAGUACUGAGUUCAGUGAACCCUGCACUGGACUGGAGAAGCUGGACAGCCUCCCCUCGUCUGGCUUUGAGAUGAGCAUGACUGGCCACAGCUACAGCAUCUACAAUGCUGUCUAUGUUGUGGCACAUGCUCUACAUGAUGCCAUGUACAGAUCCAGGGCAAAAGACAGAGGAAUUGUGAGAAGAUGGAGACCGCAGCUUCAGAAAUUGCAGCCUUGGCAGGUAAUGGUUCUUUUGUUGUUGUUGUUGUUGUUGUAUAUCUUUUAAUUAUUAUUUCAUUUUAGAUUGUUGAUAAAGCAAAGAUAACGCAAUUUUAACAACAGACAAAAAUUGAAAGAUGAAUAACCAAACUGUAAAAUAGGCAGGUAGGGUGUGUAGUUGCACGUGAGUUAAAUAAAGACUUUAAAGUCCAAAUUAAGUCCAAUUGUAUCAGAUCACCAAGCACAGUUCCAGAUUUGCCAGGUUUUGGGGGAGGGGGUUGUUUUGAAAACGUUGGUUCUGUUGUAUAUGCCAAAUCAUAUAAAACAUGUCUAGUCCUUGUCAAAAUCUCAAAUUAUUUGUGAUUAUUUUUGUUAUAGCUAUAUUCCAGAGUGAGUGGUACAAAGUGUCCAGCAUCAGAUUUUUGGGCUGUGUUCUAUUGAGUUGCCAUUACUAUGAAUGCUGCCACUUUAAUCUUGCCAAUUUUUUUUGGCAACAUAUUUACAAUGGUAUCAUCAGAAAUACACAGUGACAUUCAUUUUGGACAACAAACCAUCUUUUUAUAGUAAUAUUUAUCAUUUCUGAUCAUUUCUGAGAAAAUCGGAUACAACCCACUCACCUGAGCUUCAGCUCUUCAAAACAGCUAGGUGUGAUAUUGUCAAUGGCAAUUUCUAUCUCAACUAGAGUCUUAACAGGAACACCUGUUUUGCCUGUUCCUCCCUCAGUCUUACCCUCCCCCCCAUUUUUCUGUUCUUUCAUUUUUACACUCUUCAUUGAACUUCAUGGAUGUUUGCAUGAUGAUUUUGGAAGUCCCGUUUAAGCUUUGAAAUACAUAUACAGUGUGGCUUAGUCCUAUACGGAGGAAUCUACAGAGGAAAGAGAGAUCAACAUUUACUGUUAUUAUUGCUAUUUUUAUUAUUUCGUGAUUAUAUGAAAUCUUGUCUACUGCCUUGGAAGAGGCAAUGGCACUUUAAAAGGCUAUGCUGAACAUAAGAUAAGGUUGAGUUUUAAACAAUUGUCCUUUUCCUGCCAUCUCAAUGCAGCUCCACCCAUUUCUUAGGAGUGUCUCAUUUAACAACAGUGCGGGAGAAGAAGUGUCUUUUAGUGAGAACAGGGAAUCAGAAGCUGGGUUCGAUAUUACCAACUUGGUCACUUUCCCAAAUAACUCCUUCAUCAGAAUGAAGGUUGGAUGGAUGAAUUUGGAUGCUCCCCCAGGAAAAGAGUUUUCCAUCAAUGAAGACAAAAUGGUGUGGCACAGGAGUUUUCAGCAGGUGGGGCGUGAUUUCAGAAAAUUGCAACUCCAGUGUGUCCUAAAUGUGAUGUUUGCAUCUUGGAAGCCUAGCAGAGACAUGGAUCCUGUAUUUUCUCUCUCUUGUUGUUUAUGAAAACCUCUAUGAAUGUUGUGGGGCUCUGAUGCCUUGAAGCAGACCAGGACAUAGUUCAUUAUUAUAUGCUUGUUUGUUUAUUGCAUUUUUAGUCCACCUUUCCUCCAAGAGCUCAAGGCUGUGUGCUUACUUCCUGUUUUAUCCUAACAACCAACCCUGUAAGGUAGUGUAGACUGAGAGCAGCAGUGACUGGCCCAAGGUCACCCAAUGAGUUUCAUUUGAAUCCUGGUCUUCCACUUCCCUGUCUAGCACAUUCUUUAAAGAUUUCUAGGCCAGCACAGUGUGACCUAAGCCUAACCUCCAACCAACUUCUUUGGGGAGAAAGAAAAGAGAGCUGAGCCUGGAGACAGACGAGGCAGACUUCUGCAGAGAAUGCCUGGUUUGGAGGCUAGUAAUUCUCAAGAUAUAGUAGCAGAGGUCUGGCAGAGUCCAGCACUAACUUUGGUUUUGAGGCUGCUUAACUUGUGUUACAAUUGUCUCUUGGCCCAGUGUAUUUAGUCUGGAGUUCUCAGUCCCCAAUAUUUGUGCUUUUUCAGGUGGAAAAACAGAAGGAACCUGACAGUGUAUAUAGGUGCUGCUUAUUUAAAUCGCUUAGGAUGUCAAAACAUCCUUUCAACUCUACUUUAAAUCCUUUUGAGUUUUAUAAGAAAUGUAUUUUUCCAAAUAAUAAUAAUAAUAUUACUGUUCAGGUGAACUCCCUCCCUCCCUCCUUUUGAUUUUUAUUUUUUUAAAAAACACAUUGAUAUGACCAUAACUUCAUUUUCAGAGUCACAAAAACAUCUUCUGUCUCAUUAGAUGCCAUUAAUAGCUGUUGACAGCUCAUUGCUGUCAAAAUUCUCUUAAUAUUCAGCAUGCCAUUUCUCCUACCCACUUGAUCCCUUGCACCCCAGAAAAUGGAGUUCAGGUUCUCCAAAGGUCCAUUAUUCCCCCUGUGCUAAACAUUUCCUUACGGUUAAUUAAAAUUCACAGGUGCCACCCCUCUCUCAAUGCAACAAAAAUUGCCCUUCUGGUACUAGGAGAAAAAAGAAGGAAGGGGAGAAAUUCUGCUGCUAUGACUGUGCUCCAUGUUCAGAAGGCAAGAUUUCAUACCAGAAAGGUAGGAGACAUUAGGUAGCUUUCAGAUAACUCAGAUUUCCUGUGAAGGGUCUGUGGCAGAGUGAAAGGUGUCACAGUUGCUGCUAUUGAUGUAGUUCUGAUAUCUAUGGUCAUUGAAGUUCACAGACUUGGAGCUCUUCAUUGCAAUGAGGUGAUGGCCCAGCAACGAGGCCCAGCAUUAUCAAAGAGGUGCUUUGCAAGCCCAAAUGAUCAGAUGAUGGUUGGGGUUUACAAAGCACACUGUUACCUGCCCUACACCUAACAUCAGAGGUGACAUCAGAUACAGGGCCAGUAGGUGUAACUUGCUAAAAUGGCCCCAUGGGCCAGAGGUUUUCUAUCACUUGAUUACCUGGGUGGUGAUGGAGAUGAGUUGCAGCAGUGCACCUGCAAAGCACAGGCCUCCUGCUGUCCAGACCCACCACCUUACUGUCCAGGCAAGCGACUGAGAUCAUUGUCUGGGGGAGGGGGGUUCAAAGCCCUUUCUCCCCAUGCUAGUCACUCCUGUGUCUGAAAAGGAUUGUCUCUUCCACACCCAACUGGUAAGUCCCAUACUGCCAGGAGGAUGCAUACCUACUCACAAGUUGUACCCUUAAAGGGAAUCCUUUCUUCUUUUCAGACAUGAAUGACUGUGUCGGAUGCUCAGAAGAUCACUAUCCAAACAGGAACCGAACACAAUGCAUUCCAAAGUUCAUCAGCUUCUUGACUUUGGAAGAACCGCUUGGGAUGAGCUUAGCUUUUGGCUCCGUAUUCUCCUCUUUGCUCACCAUCUUGUCCCUCGCCAUCUUUAUGAAGCAUCAGGACACACCGAUUGUCAGGGCCAAUAAUCGGGACCUCACCUACGUUCUCCUCCUGUCUCUCCUUCUCUGUUUUCUCUGUCCCCUCAUCUUCCUCAGCCGACCAGACAGAGUGACCUGCCUUGUCCGACAAAUGGCUUUUGGUGUGGUUUUCACAGUGACUGUUUCUUGUGUGUUGGCCAAAACCAUCACCGUUGUUCUGGCAUUCAUGGCCACCAAACCAGGAUCCAGAAUGAGGAAAUGGGUGGGGAAAAGACUGGCAAGCGCCAUUGUGUUGACUUGUACUAUUAUCCAAGCUGGUAUUUGCACUGUGUGGCUGGGAACCUCUCCCCCAUUUCCCCAUUUUGACAAGCAUUCUGUGACAGGAGAAAUUAUUCUGGAAUGUAAUGAAGGGUCAGCUGCCAUGUUUUACUGUGUCCUGGGCUACAUGGGCCUCCUGGCCAUUGUCAGUUUUGUUGUAGCAUUUUUAGCCAGGAAACUGCCUGACAGCUUUAAUGAGGCCAAAUUCAUCACCUUCAGUAUGUUGUUAUUUUGUAGUGUUUGGAUCUCCUUUGUUCCGGUCUACCUGAGCUCCAAGGGGAAACACAUGGUGGCUGUGGAGAUCUUCUCCAUCUUGGUCUCCAGUGCUGGUUUACUGGGUUCCAUCUUUUUCCCCAAAUGCUACAUUAUCAUAUUAAGGCCUGAUCUGAAUGACAAACAGCAGUUAAUAAAGAAGAAAUAGCAAAGUACCCUGUUGUCACUCUUUUCUGUUACCCCAGAACAUGGGUAAUGAUUUUGCUGCUGACUCCUUGAUAUAAUUUCAUUUUAUUUGUUUAUUGAACUUGCUAUGUGCAUAAAAAAAUAAUCAGAUGGUUCUCCCCCCACCCCGAGAUGUGGUCUGCACCUUUGGGAGCCCAAGGGCACAACUGGAAAACUGAGGAACUCUUGUGGACACAAAAAAACACCAAUUUCACAGAAGAAAGUGUGGAGAUGCUCAGAAACUCCACCUCCAUCCUUUCUUGUAACUUGAAUCCAUUGGUUUGGGUCCUACUCUCUGUAGCAGGAGAAAAGCUUGCUGCAUCUUCCAUGUGACAGCCCUUGAGGUAUUUGAAGAUGGGUAUCAUAUCUCCUCUCAGUCUCCUUUUUCCAGGCUAAACAUACCCAGCUCCCUCAACCGUUGCUCAUAAGGCUUGGUUUCCCACCCAUCAUCUUCCUGGCUGCCCUCCUCUGCACAUGUUCAGCACACAUUUUACCUCAUGAAAAUAUAAUGGGGUACUUUGCCAAAAGCCUGACUGAACUCAAAAUAGACUAUGACCACAGCAUUCUCCUGAUCCACCACAUUUGUAAUGCCAUAAAAAAGAAAAGAAAUGAGAUUGGUCUGGUUUGACAACAACAGGCCCAGGACAGAACCCUUUGGCACAUCUGUGGCAUCAAGAGAUAAUAUCUCUAUGCUAUGAGGAGAAAAUGAAAAGGAGGGAAAUACCCCUCUUCCCAGAGAGAGUGAGAGAUGCCACAUAUACCUAUUCUGAACUCAGAAUUGUACAUGCAGCUCUCUGUGUGUAAUGAAGAAGUACUUGCAUGAAGAGCCAGGACAGAAAUUCCCUACCUCAAGUUUUGUUUUAAAUUUUGCCUAAGCAGCAGACCUCCUUACAGGCCUGUGGUCUGAAGUCUAGUGCUGCAUCCUUGGAAUCAGAGAGUCAGGGCCGAGCUCACAAUCCCCUUUGUGUCUCAAACUCUGUUCUUGAAUGCACUUUCCUCUUCACAAAGCAGCAUGUGAGAAAGAGGGUUUAGGUGAAAUCACAAGGGCAGUCUUUGCCCUGGGCACAGUUUUUCCAGGGCACGUUUUGCUCCUCACACCACCCAUGUCAGCCCGGUUCUGUUUUGCAAGUCUGAUCCCACAUCCCAGCCCCUCAAAGCAGUGUGGGGCUGGCAGGGCGUCAGGAGGAUGUAAUGGGCAUGUGCCCUUCCUGCUGCGUCCUCCUCAUGUCACGCACCCAGCCUGUCACGGAUGCUUCAGUUGUGAUCCCUGCAUUCCAGGGGGUCGAGCUUGAUGACCUUUGGGGGCUCCUUUCAAUUCUACCUUUUUCUGUUUAUUUAGGUGAAUAUAUAUAGGGGCCCUAAAAAGGCCUGCAGACAGGGCCCAACGGACUGUAUGUCCAUCAUCACACUCAUGCCUUGAAGUCACUCAGAGUCUGCUCACAAUUGUUCCUUUCCAGCCAAAUUCUACCAGUGGCAGGAUUCAUCUUGGCCCCAUGGGUUUACCUGCCCCAUGCCUGGCCUCACAUAACAUCAGCUGAUGGACAUGUGAAUGUGGUUUGGACCAUGAGCCCAAUGGAGAGGCUAGGUUGGCCUAACUGCUGCAGGUCAGAGGUCCUUGUUGAUUCCCUGCAAGGUGCCUUCUCUACCUGUGUAGAUCCUCUUGAGUGACUGACAACUUUUAGGGUUCUGGAUUGUGUAAGAAAGUACAGUAAGUAGAGAAAGCUGCAGAGGCUCUCUUCUGAGAACACAGUAGGUGAUGAAACUGGCAGCAGGGAUGCAAUGGAGGAGAAGGGGAACAGGCUUAUUCCUGCUCCCCCCUCAUUACAAUGCCUUGAAAACACUUGAAGGAGGCUGCUGAGGGAUUAUUUUGUGUGGAUCAUUGUCUCUGCUACUUCCAAUGGACCAGCUGAGGCAAAGGGAACAAUAUUCUCUCCCCGGUUAUUAUCAAUUACAUGGUAAUAAUCUGCUUCUGAUUAGACCUCCAUAGACUUCCAGGAAUCCAGUCUACAAAGAAUUAAAACCCUCUCUGCCAUCCCCAGCAAAUGCUAAGGUGCUGCUGACUCGUUUAGUGAGCUUUCCCCUGGAGUUGGAUCCUAGGUCUUGGGAAUUUAGCUGGUGCAUUCGGAGAGUGCCAUUCAAGGUAAGCUGCUGUACUGAGGUUGUUUCUAAUGCCAAUGCUGAUUAGCUGUAAACAGCGAAAUCGCUGUCCAGGAAAGUGUAUUGUUCCUAGUAUGGCAGUGUUGAUGCUGUUAAUCUUCUUGCUGCCUCAAAUGGCGAAUCUGUCAAACGUCAGUCGGAGCAUCAGUCACCUCCAUAUCCCACACAAGUACUAUCAGCCAGGUGACCUUAUCAUUGGUGCACUUGCUUCUCACAUCAUGUCCUCUGUUGACUAUGAAACCUUCAUACAAUGGCCAUCCAUCCAUCAGAUUCUUAAUCCAUUGUAAGUAUCGCAAAUUUUCAGUUCCUAUGUCAUAUUAAUUCCUAAGUUACCAUGUGGGCUCAGAAAUACAUACUAUUUAUUUUCGCUAUGGGGAUUUAUAACUUAUAGGGAGGGGUGCAAAAUAUCCCCCCACCGAACAUAGGAUCAAUCUUAAACUUAACCCUCCCCACCACCUGAAUUUUAACAUCUAAAAUGAUCAAGACAGACAAUAAAUUUUUCGUCAAGCCUGUAGAAAAGAUGUGAAUUGUCUAGGAUCCAGCAUGGAAGCAAAGAAAGAGCAGUCUUCCAGUGAGAUAUGACAUUAUGUUCUGGGUGGUGUGUUUCUCUCCCACCCCCAAGCUCCCCCACCCCCAAGCUCCCCCACCCCAUUUUCCAGAGCAGUGCUUAAGGGAGAGGAGGAGCCAUGGCCACGACCAGUCACAUGGGUGUCAUAAUCUAGAGAGCCCAGCAUUCUGAUGUCAACAGGAAAUGGGUGAAUGGCCAGUAGGAACCAGUGGUCUACCUAUUACAUGCCUGUCUACACAGAGUAGCAGUGGCUCUCCAGGAUUUCAGACAGGGGUCUGCCCCAGCCCCACCUGUAUGCUAAGCAAAUGCUCUACCAUUGGGUUUUACAGAAUCUUCAAAGAAAAGGUACACAGAGUAAUUGUCAAAACAUUACAGGCAACAGAAGGUUGGCUGCUAUCGGGGGCAAUAGCUUCAUUGAUGCGUGGGAAACUGAGGUGGGGUUCCAGAAACCUGCAAAAGGGCAACAAACUACAAGAAGGAAGCAGCUGGAGAGAAUGAUUCCUAGUUUCAGUUUUCUCUACUGAAAGGCACAGAGAAUGGGAAACAAGCAAGAUGAAUUGGAGCUUUUAAUACAGGAUGGCAAAUAAGACAUAUGACCUAGAAGGCGAGUAGGCAUUGUCUCAGGGUUCAAGAUUUCUUUAACAGAUUGGAGGAUUGGGUUAACAAAUGAAUUUAAAUAGGGAGAAAUGUAAGGUUCUGCACUUAGGCAGGAAGUACCAACUUCAGAAAUAUAAGCUGAAGGACACCUGGCUUACUAGGAUCUCGCCAUCUUAGUGGAACUCAAGCUUCACUUGAGUGAACAGUGCGGUGCAGUUUUUGCUGUAUGUGUAUUUAAAACAAAUUCUUUAUUGGUUUAAUUCAAUCUGCCUGUAAGCUGCCUUGUUGCUCCCUAGCACAGAAAGACAUGGAACCUAAGUUUCUUUAAACAGAUUGACCAAAAAUGGUACACAGCAAUACGCUUUGAUGUCCAACUCUCAUUGCAGUGUUGUACCAAAAUACUAUCAGCAAAUUCUGGCCUUGGUGUUUGCAGUCCAGGAAAUCAACAAGAAUUCCAAUCUAUUACCUAAUGUCACAUUAGGAUUCCACAUCUUUGAUAGUUACUUCAGUGAAAGGAUGACCUACUGGGCCACUUUGGAGCUGCUCUCUACACACUACAGAUUCGUACCCAACUACCAGUGUGACAAACAGAAAUAUCUGAUGGCUGUCAUUGGGGGACUUGACUUUGAGGUUUCCCUCCACAUGGCAGCCAUCUUAGGUGUUUACAAGAUUCCCCAGGUAAGAGUCAAACAUGGUGACUCAUUCUUCUUUCCUCUGUCCUGUUGAGAAAAGUUGUGCAUUCCAUCAUAGCCCUCUUGACAAUUUCAAAUUGUAUUCAAUAAAAGCUUUCAUCCGUCUCCAUCCAUUUCCCAACGUGUGUAUAUUCUUCAGAAGGUAGGAAUGGAACAUUCUGAAGAUACAGUUGUACACACCUACUCUAUGUAUGUGAACAGCUUGGUCUGCUGGCCUCAGGUAGACUCCAACCAGGAUGAAUUAUGGAGUCUCAUCAGUCGCUUGUACAUUACCUUAAUUUAUUUGACCUGGAUAAUUUGGGGCUGUCAGGGGUGCCGUCAACAGGUCACCGGCUAUCUACCUAGUGAAAUCAGAGGAGCAGAGAGAGCUUUUCAAUGGUUUCAUUUUAAUCCACAGGAAGACAGAAAGACGUGAAAGUAUGCUCUCACCCUUGAGCUAAUAUUGCUCAGAUUGCAACUCCACCAUGCACCGACAAUUUCUUCCUAGAAAUCAGAUGCCUCCUGCUGCCUAUGGUGGCUGCUAAGAUCAAUUCUCUUUUGGGUUCUGCAAAGCGUGUCUUGACCUUGUGGAAGGAGAGGGCUCUGACAAACUCUCUUGAGAAAGAAUGUCACUUGGCUGCUGUACUGUUUCUAAGAAAUGUGACUCAUGUCUUUGUUCAUUGCCACCUUGCUCUGGUUCAUCAUCACUUAUUAUUUCCCAGGUCCUUUUUCCUUCUCGGGUGUGACCUGUCUCAAACCACCACACCAUACUCUCCCCCCUUCCUUCUUUCUGGAAGGUUCUUAGGGUGCUGCUCUCCACCACUCCUCCUCAUCUGCCCAUUCCCUGACGGGCUUACUAAGACAGCAGGUCCAAAGCACAAUGGUUUCAUCAUUGCAAUCCACACAUAACCAAUGUUUCUACUGCAUUAAUGGGAAUUAAGUGUCCGUUUCCUUCUAGCUCACUUAUGGCUCCUUUGCCUUAGAGGAUGCUGGUCAAAGCGAAUCCACUUCCUUCUACCGGAUGGUGCCCAAUGAAGCCCAUCAGUACACUGGGAU
Molecule: long non-coding RNA, 23123 nt
Filed under: Podarcis lilfordi (Lilford's wall lizard)
Lineage: Eukaryota; Metazoa; Chordata; Lepidosauria; Squamata; Lacertidae
Source: RNAcentral